ACGGGGGACAGAGGAGAGGGCACGGGGCAUGUACGGGGACAGAUGAGUGGGGCCAGGCGAGCUGGGAUGGGGGUGUGUGAGGACAAAGGAUGAGCGAGGACAAGUGACAGGAGUCCUGAUUACUCUGGAGGAUGGAGCUCCCUGACCACCAGCACCCAAACUGUCCUUUGAAGUGAGCUCCAUCUGGGAUGGAGCCAGUUCUUCAGGCUAACAGACAGCAAAGAGCAAUGCACUGGAGAUUGCUGUAUUUGCAACAGAAGAGUUCCUUUCUGGUCCCUCAACUAAGAAGUGACUUAUGCCUUGAUGCAUAUCUGGUUAAGACCCCUUUCAGGAUUUCUGUCUCAAUUCU
This is a long non-coding RNA of Poecile atricapillus (Black-capped chickadee), 349 nucleotides long. RefSeq lists it as uncharacterized. The record is from RefSeq and is a predicted model, not a curated record. NCBI's taxonomy places the organism in Eukaryota, Metazoa, Chordata, Aves, Passeriformes, Paridae. The transcript has 3 exons.